CAUAUUGGUAUUGAUUUUGGCAUCAAUGCGAUAACAAGCUACCCACUGCUCUGUUUGGUUACAGUAAUUUUUGAUAAAAUAAUAACCAAAAUUAUAUGUGUCGGCAUCUGAAAGAAUUUUAGAUAUAAAUAUAUUUAAUAAGGUUUUGAAUGUGGCUUCAUCAGUUUCGUUAAUCAGCUCAUAUAAUCUAUUUAAAAUUUCAGGGAUUUUUUUCAUUUACUAUUUUAGUUGCUCCAGAUGUUAAACUUUUCUUUAGUGCUCUUUUUACAUGCCAGUCACAUAAAACAUAGAAGUUACUAAAGUUUACUAAAGCUACCAUAGUUUACUAAAAAUAGCACACUAAGUAUUAUAGAAGGCUUUAUAAUCAUCAGACAUAAAAGCAUUAACUUUUAUGUCUAAAACCCAAGCUUUUACUUUUUGAAAAAAAUAUUUAAAAAUUGUUUCAUGUUGCCAGUUACUCCACAAAAAAGCAACAAGAAAGCCUUCCCAAUUAUCAUCUUUAAUUAGCAGACUGGUCAGUUGAAUAUUGUAUUUAUUUGUACCACGAGUAGAGUCAAUGUACAACACUUCAUUUCCAUAUAUUUUAAACAAUUCCUCCAGGGCUUCAUUCAUAAAGCCCAAGAUAAAAUCCUCUUUUUCUAAAUCAGGAAAUUCAGAGCUGCCUUCACCUGGUAAUUUAUACAUUAAUAUUGGAUUCUGAUCCAAUGCUAACAUUUCAUAUAUCCAUCCUUCAUCGGAGAGAACAUCAUUUUCAUUUCUAAUGGUGUCUCCAUUUAUUUGAUACUUUUUUACAAUGUUUCUAAUAUCCUGAGCAGUUGUUACUGCCAAAUGCUUAGUUGGAGAAGAUAUGCCUGCAAUAUUAUUUAAAAUAUUUCAAAUUCGGACUCCUGUAAUCAAUUGACCAACUAUCUUCUCCUUUUCUCUUUCACACAACCGAAAAUGUUUUAUUUCAAAUAUGUGGCCUACAUACAUAGGAAAAUAUUUCACAUGCAACUGGCCUGACUCUUUACAACUUUUUACAGAUAUGAAAGCUGGGAAAUAUGAAUUUAUUUUACAUGAUCCAGCUAACUUUAUAUGGCAAAGGUCUUUGCUCUUAGAGCUGAAAUCUCCACUACAAUGACAUGUAUACAUUGUAGUGUGAGAAGAAUACUGCUUUCGGGUUCUUAUAUAAGAUGUUGAAGUCGUUAGUUCGGUUUCUGUCUUCCAGGUUUGAAAUCACUCUAAGAGUUGAAAGUUAAGCUUUCAUUUGUUUUAAAUAAAUUAGGGUGAUUUUUUUUAAAAUAUGCAUAUAUAGUUGACUUUUAAUAAAAAACACAUUUUUGCAUUCACCACAGGGAAAUUUUCUUUGAAAUUUGCAUGAAAAAUUUUCUCAUGCCUCCUGCAACAUUGAAUGGGGGAAAAAGAUUUUCUGCAGAUGGAACAGAGGAUUGGAAUUCUGGAUGUAACAUGGAUCUUCUUAUGCUUUAUAAGAGCAACAAAUUCAUUAAAUAUUUCUUCACAAUAUGGACAUGAAAAUGUUGAUGCCGACUGGACUGGCAAAGGAUUAGGUUCUGUGAAUUCACAACUUGAACAUUUAUAUUUAUGAUACAAAAAUUUGUGAAUUUUUUUUUCAUGUUUUUAGUGAUUACUCUUUGUCAAAAACCUCUUUUUGCAGAUUUGACAGAGAUAUAUGGGUGGUAAUUGCACUGGCAUUUGUUUAGGUACUUCUACUUGGUUUGCUGAUGAAGAAACAAUUGGCACUGGGUAAAUGCUUCUGUAUGGUUUGCUGGUGGAGAAACAAUUGGCAUUGGAGUAGAUGCUUCGGCAUGGUUUGCAACAUUAUGCUCAACUAGUUCGUAUUUUUUUAGCAUGACAAUUCACAAACAAUACAUUUGUGUUUCAUAUAUAUUUUUCCAUGAAAAUUUUUCUCAUGCCUUUGACAAUUACUAAUUGUUUGAAAUGUCUUAGCACAAAACUGACACACAUUUUUUUCACCCAGAGACAUAAUAAUUAAAUAUUUUUUAUCAUUGUUCUAAAUUAAAUUUGAAGCAAUAAAUUUGGGAUGUCAAUCAACAAAGUCGUUUCCAAAUGAAAAUUCAACUUACAUAGAAAAAAUACAGCAGGAUUAAAAUGCUUCAGAAAAAUGAGGGAGCAAAGAGUUAGGUUAGUUUAUAGGCUUAGUUAAAAAAGCUCACUGAAGUGUUUUUCCUCAUUUGUUAUUCAAAUUAUGCCAAUGAUUUGGUUGACAAAUCUAAACCAUAUUCCAUAUUCUUUUGUUGGGCCAGAAUUUCAUAUAAAAUACCAUUAUCAUUUGAUGUUAAGUUCAGUUCAAUAAUACCGUAUACUCAUUUUACCGCCAAAUCUGUUGUUUUUCUCGAAUUUUUAUCUCUUUCUGCCGUCAUGAUGACACACAAUUUCGCGGGAAUUUCAUUGGCUCGGAUUAAGGAUCGUUUCAUCCAUUCGAUAUCUUUAAGGUCUUCUAGUAAAUAAAUGCACAAGAACCGCUUCACAUUUACAGAUCAAUGGAUCAUAACACUCACAGGGAAGAACAAAUGGGUAACCUAUUUAAUAAGUAGUAGGUCAUUACGUCAAUUAGUACGACAGUGUGCUAUUAAUCGCUUUGUUUACUACUUGGCUACCAUCCACAGUAAGGUUUGCUUCGAAAUCAUAAAGGAAACCAAGGUAUGAAUGGCUGCUAUGCACAGGGCCGGCAAUCUGGGGUGUGUGGCGGAUGCUAUGCACUGGGGCCAGUAAAUUGAAGGGUUCCAACAUGAUCAAGAACUAAAAUAAUGUUCUGAAUGGUAACAGCGGGAUGGAAACAAUAGAGGAAGAAAUUUAACUGGAACAAUCAAUAGUUUUUGAAUUGUACAAAGUUUACAGAAUAAAAUGCUUCAUCUUUCUGUCCUUCCAGGCCUAAUGAUAUUGAAAUUGUGCAUUCUCUGCAUGAUUUGAGGCUGAAAUAUGCAAAAAUGAAAAGAAAUUUCAAACAUAUUUUUUCUUUAAAAAAAUACUGAAAUCAAAAAUCUAAAGAUAACCCCGGAAUGAAAAAUCUACCAGUAGAAAUAAAUAUUUUGCAGAAUUGUGCUUAUAAAGAUGUAAAGAAGGAUUAUAAGCCUUUUUGCCACUUCCUUGAAAGACUUGGUAUUUUACUAUUUAUUUAUUUAUUUAUUUUUUGGAAGUUGAGAAUUGUUUUCUCUUUGGCAAAUUCUUCAUGUGGGGGAAAGUUUUAUGAGAUUAGACCAAGGGAAUUAAUAAAUUGAGAGGGGCCUGUAAACUGGAGUAUUUUUGUUAUGAAGCAUUCAUGACUUUGUUUUUUCUGCUACCGGAAUUGCAAGGUAUAUGCAUAAACUAUCUAUAUUUGAACUAAAUUAUGUAUAAUUUAGAAUGGUUAAUUCAUCAUACUAUUAUCUUUCUCAGUCAGAUACGUCUUAAUUGCAUUUGGGAAACAAUUUUAAUAUUCUGGAACUUUUUGAAUGUAGAAGAAUGACUUUCAUUAUGCCUCCUCUUUUUAUUCUUGCAUUUUAACUCACAUUCUAUAACUCAAUACUAAUUUUUGAAAUCCAUAUUACAUCAUUGAAAGUCUUCUUAACCCGAAAAAACCUUAGUAACAAUCAGAAUUUUAUUCCACUGUGCCUAGAAGUAUCAAAAUAUUCCUUUAUUUAAUAGCUGCUGAGCAGGCUCUUGAUAUUUCUCUGUAUAAUUUCAAUCUUUAUAUUUAUGAGACUAAAUGUAUUAUAAAAUGUUUCUAUUUCAGAUUGUGCUUUUGGAUGUAACUCAAUCACUUUUUAAUGUAUUCUUAAUAUUGGAACAGAGGUAAUUAAUAAAGUAAAUUUUGCCUGAAAGACUUGAUGGUAGCUUGCAUUAAAUGUGCUGUUUUUCUAUAUUUUGUAAAAGCCCAAAGAGUAUAUAUACAUUCUUGCUGUUUUAAUUCUUAAAUAUCUUUCUUCAUUCUGCCAUAUUUUUUAGGCUACAAAUAAAUUAUUUCUUUUUCUUUACAAAUAAAUUAUUUCACUUUGAAUGAAAUUAGUGAAUUAUAUUUUAAAAUAUAUCAAAAUAGUUAUCUUCAGAAAUUUCUGAUAUCUUUUGUUUUUUAUUUGGCACAUACUUAAUUUUUUUUUUUGUAGUUUAAUAAUAAUAGUGUCUAUUAAAAAUAUUUUCAUGAAGUUCAAAAAUAUUGCACUUUUAAUGGAUUCCCUUUAUGAUGAUCAAAAAGUUCUGGUAUUUAUUGUAUGAUGAGACACUGAGUGCAAAUUGAACUUUUUUGAUGAUAUUCUUUCAAAGUAAAUAAUACCUUGUGGAAUCAAAUCUUCAAAUAACACGCUUUUACCUAGAGAUAUUGACAAAUUUUCACAGCCUUGCAAUGAUAACAACAUGGUUCUACCAACUAUAAACACUACUUCACAGCCCAUUGUAGCUACAUAUCAAAACUCAGACAGUGAAACAGAUGAUGAUGAUGGUACCGGUUUCCAGGUACAAAAAUAAUCCUGAUGUUUUUAAGCCAGCAAUAAAAAAAAUAGUGAAGAAUGUAAACAAGUUUGGAAAAACAGAAACUUGAUUGGUGUCUGCCUUGCAUGACUUUGGAAGAAACCUUAACUACUCAAGCAGAGUUUUGAAGUGCAGCAGAAGGAGAGGCAAUCAAAUACCUGUUCAACCUACAGCAAUUGCAAGAAGAAAAUCAAUUUAUUCUGGAAGGAAAAGUCAAGUCAAGUUGGUGGAAGACCAGUUAAGCGAGCAUUACCACCUGCCCUAAAAGAACAUGCAUAUGGAAUAUUCUCUGAGUUACCGAAAAAACAUCGAAAAACAAAGCAUAGUUUGACACAUUGUGUUGAAAAGAAUGCAUCUCUUCCAAAUUAAUUUAUACUUAUUUUAUUACUAUCAUGCUUCAAAAAAUUAUGUUUUGUUACAUGCUUUAAAAAUGUAUUAGAACAUUUUAACAGGAUUUGUUUGGUGUUAAAAUAAUUAGUAUUAAUAUGGUAUAAAAUUUUAAUGCUAUUAUGGUAUUAAAUAGCACUUAUUCCAUGAAACUGUUGUAUAUUA
Argiope bruennichi is the source of this 5016-nucleotide long non-coding RNA. RefSeq lists it as uncharacterized. Lineage: Eukaryota; Metazoa; Arthropoda; Arachnida; Araneae; Araneidae. The transcript is spliced from 8 exons. The record is from RefSeq and is a predicted model, not a curated record.